AAAAAAUUAGUUAAUGUUCUAUAAUAUAAUUUUGUCAAGAUUAAGUAAUUUUAUAAAUAUUUUUUA
Molecule: transfer RNA, 66 nt
Filed under: Cyphoderus albinus
Lineage: Eukaryota; Metazoa; Arthropoda; Collembola; Entomobryomorpha; Paronellidae
Description: tRNA-Asp
Source: RNAcentral